GAUGAACGCUGACAGAAUGCUUAACACAUGCAAAGUCAACUUGAAUUUGGGUUUUUUAAUUAGGUUUGGGUGGCGGACGGGUGAGUAACGCGUAAAGAACUUGCCUCACAGCUAGGGACAACAUUUGGAAACGAAUGCUAAUACCUAAUAUUAUGAUAAUAGGGCAUCCUAUAAUUAUGAAAGCUAUAAGCGCUGUGAGAGAGCUUUGCGUCCCAUUAGCUAGUUGGAGAGGUAACGGCUCACCAAGGCGAUGAUGGGUAGCCGGCCUGAGAGGGUGAUCGGCCACAAGGGGACUGAGACACGGCCCUUACUCCUACGGGAGGCAGCAGUGGGGAAUAUUGGACAAUGGACCGAGAGUCUGAUCCAGCAAUUCUGUGUGCACGAUGAAGUUUUUCGGAAUGUAAAGUGCUUUCAGUUGGGAAGAAAAAAAUGACGGUACCAACAGAAGAAGUGACGGCUAAAUACGUGCCAGCAGCCGCGGUAAUACGUAUGUCACGAGCGUUAUCCGGAUUUAUUGGGCGUAAAGCGCGUCUAGGUGGUUAUAUAAGUCUGAUGUGAAAAUGCAGGGCUCAACUCUGUAUUGCGUUGGAAACUGUAUAACUAGAGUACUGGAGAGGUAAGCGGAACUACAAGUGUAGAGGUGAAAUUCGUAGAUAUUUGUAGGAAUGCCGAUGGGGAAGCCAGCUUACUGGACAGAUACUGACGCUGAAGCGCGAAAGCGUGGGUAGCAAACAGG
Molecule: ribosomal RNA, 736 nt
Filed under: uncultured Fusobacterium sp.
Lineage: Bacteria; Fusobacteriati; Fusobacteriota; Fusobacteriia; Fusobacteriales; Fusobacteriaceae
Description: bacterial SSU rRNA
Rfam family: Bacterial small subunit ribosomal RNA
Source: RNAcentral